GGGCGGUUGGCUCAGUGGUAGAGCGUCUGCCUUACAAGCAGAGGGUCACUGGUUCGAAUCCAGUACUGCCCAUUC
This 75-nucleotide transfer RNA is filed under the name Fucus vesiculosus. Its description in RNAcentral is "transfer RNA-Val(tac)". It matches the Rfam family "tRNA". Rfam says of the family: Transfer RNA (tRNA) molecules are approximately 80 nucleotides in length. Their secondary structure includes four short double-helical elements and three loops (D, anti-codon, and T loops). The record is from RNAcentral. Lineage: Eukaryota; Phaeophyceae; Fucales; Fucaceae.